CAGUCGCCGCGGGAACACGAAGGGUGCAAGCGUUAAUCGGAAUUACUGGGCGUAAAGCGUGCGUAGGCGGUGAGUUAAGUCUGCUGUGAAAUCCCCGGGCUCAACCUGGGAAUGGCAGUGGAUACUGGCUCGCUAGAGUGUAUCAGAGGAUGGUGGAAUUCCCGGUGUAGCGGUGAAAUGCGUAGAGAUCGGGAGGAACAUCAGUGGCGAAGGCGGCCAUCUGGGACAACACUGGCGCUGAGGCACGAAAGCGUGGGGAGCAAACAGGAUUAGAUACCCCAGUAGUCCCUGUCUCUUAUAC
Molecule: ribosomal RNA, 301 nt
Filed under: uncultured bacterium
Lineage: Bacteria
Description: partial 16S ribosomal RNA
Rfam family: Bacterial small subunit ribosomal RNA
Source: RNAcentral